UUUAAAGAGAGUUUGAUCCUGGCUCAGGACGAACGCUGGCGGCGUGCCUAAUACAUGCAAGUCGAACGAACGGAGGAAGAGCUUGCUCUUCCAAUGUUAGUGGCGGACGGGUGAGUAACACGUGGGCAACCUGCCUGUAAGUUGGGGAUAACUCCGGGAAACCGGGGCUAAUA
RNAcentral lists this ribosomal RNA (173 nucleotides) under Listeria monocytogenes. Its description in RNAcentral is "partial 16S ribosomal RNA". It matches the Rfam family "Bacterial small subunit ribosomal RNA", at positions 1 to 168 of the family's 1533-position model. Lineage: Bacteria; Bacillati; Bacillota; Bacilli; Caryophanales; Listeriaceae. The record is from RNAcentral.